UAGCUUUUUCAUGAUUCGGUGGAUGGUGGUGCAUGGCCGUUCUUAGUUCGUGGAGCGAUUUGUCUGGUUUAUUCCGAUAACGAGCGAGACUCUAGCCUACUAAAUAGUUGGCUCAUUGCUUCUGUGGGCACAACUUCUUAGAGGGAUUUUCGGUGUUCAGCCGCACGAAAUUGAGCAAUAACAGGUCUGUGAUGCCCUUAGAUGUCCGGGGCUGCACGCGCGCUACACUGGCAAAAUCAGCGUGCUUGUCCUUCCCCGAAAGGGGUUGGUAAACCGGUGAAAAUUUGCCGUGAUUGGGAUCGGACAUUGCAAUUAUUGUCCGUGAACGAGGAAUUCCUUGUAGGGGCGAGUCAUCAACUCGCUCU
RNAcentral lists this ribosomal RNA (365 nucleotides) under Heterodera environmental sample. RNAcentral describes it as "SSU rRNA". It matches the Rfam family "Eukaryotic small subunit ribosomal RNA", at positions 1252 to 1642 of the family's 1831-position model. Lineage: Eukaryota; Metazoa; Nematoda; Chromadorea; Rhabditida; Heteroderidae. The record is from RNAcentral.